Molecule: RNA transcript, 7014 nt
Organism: Anastrepha obliqua
Lineage: Eukaryota; Metazoa; Arthropoda; Insecta; Diptera; Tephritidae
Gene: B4
Exons: 6
Source: RefSeq, a predicted model, not a curated record
CCAACCCCGCCAGCAGUACACAGCUGUCUCUCCUUUAUAUUGUGGCUCCUCAACUCAUUGUUUCAUUGCUGCGCGCACUCGUAUUUACUCGCUCACCAAUCAAGCAUUCUAGCGACCAAAACCAUUCUGUCAACUAACAAACUGCCUGGCUGACUGACUUACUGACUGUUUGUUGUUUUUAGACGUCGGCGACAACGACAGCAGCAGCAGCAGCAGCCGCAGCAGCAGAAUUAUUUACAGCGACAACUGUGCAAUACAAAGUGUCGAUGACGAUGACGCGCGAACACAUGAAUUGACUGAGUCACAGCAGCAGUCAGUUACUUAGUUCAUUUCAUUGUUGGUGCGCUCAGUUGACGCGGUCAUACUGUCGUUUGAGCUGUUGUUGGUGGUGUUUUUGGAGCACGAACGAGCAUACGGGCAUUCACAGCCGUACACAGUGGAGCUUCGCAAGUCGUUGGCGUUGACGUUGGCCGGCAGUUGCAUUCGACGCGCCAUCGAAUCGGGUUGUAGUGUAGUCGUCGUGUACCGAUGUAGCUACGUGAGUGCUGUGGAGUAGCUGGGUUACGUCGCGUCGUUAAGGUCGUCAGCAAAUUUUUUCCGCACAGCGACUCGUCGUUCGUAUGUGGCUCGUUUUCGUUUGCCGUUUGCCGUCAGCAGCGUUGUCAACGUCACAGGCACUGAAUGCGCGGUGGUGUGAACAGUGUUUUUGGGCUGUAGAUCAUGCCAAAUACGGGCCGGCAGUUGACAGGCUAACACAGCAGUGCGAAUUAGAAUAGAAUCAAGUGACAACGGUUUGGCGUAUGAAUUUGCAAGUGUAAAUAUUUAACGCAAAAAAAAAACAAAAGAAACAACCAAAAAGUGAAUAAAAAUGCAUAAACGAGUUAAAGCAAAGAAAUGUGAUUUUCGCAAGGAUUUCUAAUUAGAAAAUAAAAUGAUAAAUCAUAAGUGAUACGAAGCAAAAAAACAAAAAAACAAGCAGAGAGAAGCAAAAAGCUACUGCAUUCAUAACAAUAACAACCAGCACAACAAUAACACCAAAGUGUAGUGCGACAUUCCAGUACUAGCCGUCAGUGUGUAUGGGCGCGAGUGUGUGUGCUUUUUUUGUGAUUUUUUCCCCAUUUUGCUUUGCGCAGGCGUGCACGCCCUUCCUUAUGGUCGCGACGUCGGCAGCUGCUCAUACAAAGUAGUAAAAUAAACAUCUUUUGUAUGUUUCUCGUAUUGUUUCGCUUAAAUUGCUGAUGCCUAGCGAAAUGACUGAUUCCAUAAAAUUAUCCGAAAUGCAACGCAGUAGUAUCGAAUUCGAACGUCAACGACAUUUGGCCAACUGGUUUAUCAAAAGUAGUCCGCACAUGGCAACACCGACGACUGUCGCUACCGUUGCUACAACAACAACAACAGCAAGCUCAGCAGCCGCAGCAGCAGCUGGUGCAACAACAGAUAACACAACUGCUAGCAAUGCAGUGUGUGCAACAACAAAAAAUACCACAGUAUCAACAACAAAUCUAGUAGGUGGCAACCAUACAAAUGGCAUGUCAGCGUCAGCCGCCUCACAUCAUCACCAACAGCAAUUGAGUGCCAAGCAUCACAACAGUUGUGGUGGUGGUGGUGGUAGUGGUGGUGCUGGUGGCAGCAGCGGUAAUCCACCGCCCGUCUUUUUCUUAGUCUCCAGCAAUGGCAACACAAAUGGCAAUAUCGUCAAUGGCAAGCACAGCAGCAAUGCGUCACCGGCUGCUACAGGUGUUGCUACGCCGCCCAAUGCGAUAAGUGCUGUCUCCGGCGGUCCGUUAGGCCAUUUCGCACCCGUCGAGGGACGCAAACCCAAGCUGCGACGUUUCAACUCGCACGACACCAGCGCGAAUAUGUUCUCGGUGGCCGAUUUCGAGAAUGCACGCCUAGCGCGACGCAAUGAAAUCGAAAUGAAACAACGUUUGGCACGACGCAUGCGUAUGAGUGCCAAUGGCGGCUACGCUUGUUCGGCUGGCGGCAUGGGCGCGAACUUGGCUAGUGGCAGUGGCGUGGGCGGCAAUGGCUGUGGGCUGGGUGCAAGUGGCAACGGCAUGGGUGUGGGUACGGGCGGCAGCAGCAUGUGUGGUGGUGGUGAUUACUCCACCGGUGACAGCAAGGCAUCCAAAUAUAGCAAUGAGUCGCAACACGAGCCAUUGCCAGCGGAUAUCUUUCUCGAUCGCUACUCAUUGCCACGCGUUGUCCGCAUUUCGUAUAAAACGAAAUUCUCUGAUGAAACAUUGCAAUCGUCCUCGUCGAAUGGCUCCUCCACAGCCACAACGAAUACCACAGGCACCAGUGCCUCCAAUUCGUCGGUGAGUGCUUGUGGUCUAACGGUGGCUAUUAACACCGGCACCUCCUCAUCGACGGCCUCCUCAAGCGGUAAUGUGAAUGCGCACAGCUCGGGUGCUACGAAUACGAGCAGCAGUGGCGGUGGUGGUGGUGGUGGUGGUAGUAGUGGCGAGAGAGUAGGUUCAAAGCACUCCACACCACAUAACACAACAUCUCCAUCCGCCUCAGCUACAGCAACUCAGUCAAAUACAGCAAUUAACGGUAAUAGCAAUGCAGAUGCGGAACAACGCGAAGAUCAUGGCGAAUUAUUUUUGUUGUAUCGGCUGAUACGGCAACGUCACAUUUUUCACGGACAUAAUGCUAAAACUGCGGCAGCGAGUCGCAAAAAAGGCGUGCUGAUACCGCAAGAAUUUCCAGGUUACUUUUCUCUGCUCAACGACAAGGGAAUACCCACAGCGACACUCUACACAUCGCUCAUACAGUUGGUGCGCGAACGUGUGUACAAAUUCGUCUCAGUCGACAAUAUGCCCGCCUUUACGGAAUCCCAGCCCAACGUAAAUAACCCACCCACGGAGGGUUGCAUACCAAUAUACUCCCAACCACCGCCACCACCGACCAAUAAUCGACCACAAUAUGUGAAGACAACUGCGCGAGGUGGCCAAGUAUUUCGAUUGCUUGCCGUUUUCGAAGAUGGCAAACAAGAUCACGCUACCAUCGGUUGUACCGGUGGAGUAACCGCAAAAGCGUAUAACAAUCAUGGCCGUGAAAAGGAGAAGGGCCGCUAUGCACAAUUGCUAAACGAGAACCGGCAGGUGUUGUACGUGUCGCUCUCCACAAAAGGGAAAUUCUACGAAAUCGAGCCGGGCAUACCACAAAUACUGCAGAAGCUUGGUGGCAUUGGCAACGAGGCGAACAAGAAGGCCAAUCCCGAUUGUGUGCAUCGCAUAACAGCGCUGAUAACACCACAGCGUGAAUUGCCGCUUACGCUGCGCUACAUUUCGGGACCGAAUGGCUGUAACAGCGCGAUACCCGACAAUGUGUGCAUUACGCACAUAACCACCGAGAACGUAGUGAUUGCCUGCCCCAUUGAAGAUGUGGAGGUGCAAAGUCCACUACACUUACGCAAACUGCAUCUGUCGAAAGAGAUGAAUUUGCUGAAGAGCUCACUCGGUUUCGAAAGCGAGCAACGUAUGCUCGCCAACCCCAAUGUGCAAAACAUACUAAAAUUUUGUCAAUUCAAUUGUGAUCAAUUCUUGAAGAUGGUUGAGGUCGAGAUACUGCACCGUCCGGAGCGCUCGGGCUCGAAAAGUCGUGGGGAAGGUUUGAAAAUCCUAAAACCCUUGCAUCUGCCAAAGUUGCUGAGGCGCGAGAAAACGACGAUACCAGCGCACGAAAAGGAAGACUCAAUUAUCUUCCUUAGCAAAUCGGAUCUUGCCAAUCUAGAGGCGAAAGAGGCAGCAGCGCAAGCUGCAUUCGAGAGUGCGACAAGCAGCGCAAAUCGCAUUACCGAGAAGAUGAAAGUUUUCCAAUCGACGAAGAAGAAAUGGUUCCGCAAGCAGGACAAGCAUGCUGCGCACACGAUGACCUCCUACGAACUGGAUGUGCAGGCGAAGCGCAUGAGCAUGGAACGCUAUUCGGAUAUGUCUAAGCUGUUACAGGAACGAUUCGGCGAUAAGCCAAAUACGCAAACUCACGAUGUACACGAGAGUUUUUCGGAGCCAAGUGGUGGCGCAUCGGACAUUGGCUGUUCAGACACAGAAACCACAACAUUGGCGACCAUCGAUGAGAAAUUGAAAAAAGUCGAAACGCGCGGAAAAAAAUUGAUGACGAAAUCUAUGUCGCUACAGGAUAUUGAGCUCAUCAGUGGCGGUGCUGCAUCGCGUAAGCCCGAUUUACUACCAAAUGACACCAUCUCAGAAGCGGGCACCGAUGUGGAGGAUCUUGAGAAUCAAGAUACCAUACCACAAUCUUUCAUUACCGAAAAGCUGUACAAUGAAUUUCACGUGAAAACGCGCCAGUACAGUAAAUCUUCCUCGAGCUUGCAUCAGCUGCUCAACUUUUCGCUGCCACAAAAAAUGCAGCUGCACGAUAACAAGCGCUCCAUGGCACAGCUGAAGCACAACACUAACAAUGGCGUUGUGGCAAAACCAACAGCCACUGAUAGGCGACUUGAUUUCAAUAUUGGCGAACCGGUAACAGGCAGACGCGCUGCCGGUGGACUUUCAUUGCUCGCAGGUAACGCUGGCGUUGCUAACAGUCUUGGCAUUUUGGGCAACCACUCUGCACUUGCCUCACCACUCACACCCACCAGUCUAAUAGACGAUCUACCCUAUUCAAGUGUACGCGAUUCGCUGGUGCUUUCAAGCGACGAAUCAGCAUCCGACAAUCCAACGGGCAACAUCUGUCAAGCGCUCAAUCUGAUCGACUACAACAAAGAGAAUAUCUAUGCGGAAAUAUGUCACGACAAUGUAAGUCAUAAGGCGGCAGGAUCUUCGACAUCGGCGGCGGCAGCUGGCACUACUGUCUCGGCCAUGGGUGGCAUUUGCACUUCGGCCACACGUGAAACCUUUUCCAAUGAAACACAUUCCACGCAGAUCUCCGACGACUAUGGUGACUACGCCUCGCUGACAUACACCGCAAUCGAGUGUCCUACGCCAGCGGUGAGUGGCAACAAUGUGGCCGGUGCAUUGAGUAAAUCAGCGAGUGGACAAACUGUGGCUAGCGACAGAUUGGCGCCAACUGGGUUGGCAAUUAGUCGCGUACAAAUCAACUGCAAUGCCGUCAGUCCGGUGAGCUAUCACACUGUAUAUCUCGGUGAAGAGCCGCUCAGCGGUGGUGAAAAGCAAAGUGGGCGCGCGGCGAGACGCAACAAGGUGGGCAGCAAGAGUCGCGCGCAUGUCACCACAGUGGCGUUAGAAGGUAAUACGGCUGCGUAUGAAGCGCACAAUGGCGGCAGCGGCGGCGGCGGCGGCGGAAGUAUUAGCACUACAGCUGCGAGCAUUGCGAACGAACUGGAGGAGGUGGCCGAUAAUAUCUAUAAUACACUCAAAUGAUGACUAAUGUGAUUCAGUUGGAAAUUGGGUGCUUCUGUAUUGAGUAUGAUGAGCAGCGGCAAGGGGUUCUAUUGAAAAGCUGAGUGAGUCGGCCAAGCAGAGAGUACAUACAUGCGUGCAUGUACGCGCUUGCCUAGCAAGAUUGAUUGAUAACAAAAUUACGACAUCCGGGAGAGUAUUUCUGGCUGUGACGUAACUAUUGGAUAAACAAGAAAGGGAACGGCGUAGAAGGAUAAAUUUGCACGUAAAUAACAAUAGAAAUGAGACAUGAGUAGAAAAACAAUAAUAAAAUGAGAACAAACAUCCAAUUAUUACGUCAGCAAAUCAGCUGAUACUGUCAAAUUCACUGAGCGCGGGCGAAUGGUUAGCGGAUGUCGCCACCUUCUGUAUUCUCUUCACCGGGCAUACAUCUGUAGUAGAAGCAGGAGUGCUGAGAGAACUAGUGAUUAAAUUUAGUAUACUAUUAAAUACGAAUCGAACUGCUCGAAAGAGGGAACAGCAAUGUGAUGUUUAGGGUUUUCUAAAUGACAUGAAUGGUGCGUUUAAAAGCUGUAAAUAAAUAUUUAAGAAAGAGAACAAGAAGAAGAGGUUGAUUGAGUGUUGGCUGUUGGUGAAACAAAGGUAUUAUUACAGAAGUGCAAGAGUAGCGGAGAAAUUUCGUAUGCAACAGCGGCUGUAGCGGCUAAUGCGUUGAGGCAUUCACAAAUGAAUUGUAAUAAGGAAAAUUUUUUAAAAUAGAAAUUUAUUAAAUUUAAAAGAAAAAUAUGUAUGGAUAGACAUGCACCUUUUAACUUUUAAAAGCGAUUUUACUUUUCUAAUUUAUAAUUUUGUAAAUUACGUCAAAGGCCGACGAAGAACAGUAGAAAUGACAACUCAAAAUGUAAUAUUAAAAAACAAAAAAACACAAAAAAUAAAUACUUAAAAAGAAAAAAAGAUUAAAUUGCAAAACCCCAAACAAAUUUAAAUAUAAUUAUUUGCUGUAGAAUAUAAAAAGAAAAAAAUAAGUUUAAGACAAAGUUCUUGGGAUUAAAGCAGUGUAAAAAAUAUCACAAAAAAGAAAACAAAAUUGGAAGAAAUUAUUUAAUUUUUUUGGCAUUUUCACUAAUUUACAAAUGAAUUGUAUAGAAAAUGAUUACUUGCUGUACAAUUCACACUUUUUAGUACAUAUGUAAGUGUAUUCGCAUAAAAAGUCAUUUUAGUUUUUAAUGAAAAAUUAAACUAUAUUCGUAACUGGAAAAUUUUAGAAAUUUUAAAUUUAAGAAAUAAUUAUUUUUAAUACUUAAAUUGUAAAAGGCUCUCACUACUGCGAUUUAAAUGGUGUUUGGUUUGCUAGUCGCUGUUCAAUUUCUUUUUGAUUUGCAUAAAAAUUAUUAUAACAAAAUUAUUUAUUUUUUUAUUUCUACAAUUUUUCGGUUUUUCCUGGUCUAUAAUUAAUCUUUAAAAGCGAAUAUAUUUUUAAAAGUUAUUAUUGUAAUAAAAAUACAUUUAAAACAUCAAACCAUAUGUAUGUACAUAUAUAAAUAAUAAACUCUGAAAAGCGCAAUCGCUUUGUCCAUUUUGUUUACAAAGCAAUGAAAUUUUUAUUUUAAGUCAAACACAAACGAAUUUGGUUCUAUUUAAUUUUUGUGUAUUAUUAAUUAUGUAUUAUUUUUUCCACUUAUCUAAG